UACGAAGGGGGCUAGCGUUGCUCGGAAUCACUGGGCGUAAAGGGUGCGUAGGCGGGUCUUUAAGUCAGGGGUGAAAUCCUGGAGCUCAACUCCAGAACUGCCUUUGAUACUGAGGAUCUUGAGUUCGGGAGAGGUGAGUGGAACUGCGAGUGUAGAGGUGAAAUUCGUAGAUAUUCGCAAGAACACCAGUGGCGAAGGCGGCUCACUGGCCCGAUACUGACGCUGAUGCACGAAAGCGUGGGGAGCAAACAGG
RNAcentral lists this ribosomal RNA (253 nucleotides) under uncultured bacterium. Its description in RNAcentral is "partial 16S ribosomal RNA". It matches the Rfam family "Bacterial small subunit ribosomal RNA", at positions 524 to 776 of the family's 1533-position model. The record is from RNAcentral.